GUGGCAGUGAUCAUAACGGUGGUUGCCAGUGGUGGUGUUAACAUUUAUGUUUGGAAGGAAAUACAUUUAUACAUAAACCAUCAAUGAAGUUUUAAUAAAAGGGGAUUGAUACAAAAUAAUUCAAGAUGAGUAAUUCGUCAUUCAGUGAGAAGGAUUUGAUGAUGGACAUGGCGAUAGCUGUUACCUGCUUCUCUAUGGCCGUGAUCAUAGUUGGGCUCAACGGCUUGGUCAUAUUUACCCUCAGCCGACAGAAGGGAAAUAAUCGCCUACACUUUUUCAUACGUCAUCUUGCCAUUGCAGACUUACUUGUUGGGUUAAUUGCUGUUACUGGCGAUGCAGUAAAUAUUGGCAUUCUGCACGCGGAAUGGCUGGCCGGCGACGUCAUGUGCCGGUUGCAUCGGUAUGCUUGCUACGUCAUUCUUAUCGUCUCCAACAAUCUGCUCAUUGGGAUGAGUUUUGAUCGCUUCCUUGCUGUGAAGUAUCCGUUAAGAAAGAUCACGGGAGGUUAUAUGCCAUACAGAACAAUUAUCAUAGGUUGCUGGGUUAUCGGAUUAGCCUUACCUUCAUGGUUAAUACCAUUCUUUGGGACAGAAUAUAAUAUAAAGUACUCGAAAAUGUUUUGCGAAGUUAACUUAAAAACAGACGGUCAAUGGCAGGCGUAUGUUUGGAGCACACUUACUGGGGUUUUCUUUCUCCCUCUUGUUGCUAUUUCCUUCUGCUACAUUGGCAUCUCCAUUGUCAUCUGGCAGCACUGGAAGGAUGGACAGAGGCUAACAGAAGUAAAGGACAAGUCUCAAACACAAGGGAUGUUACAGAGUGCACGACCGAAAAUGUCAGGGUUGCUUCCAAAAGCCAAAGUAAAGUCGAUAAAAAUGACCCUAAUCGUUUGCUUUGUAUUCUUUGUUUGUUGGCUACCAGCGACAGUGAUCUAUCUACUUGACGUCCAUCGAAUAAACUCACUAGACGCCACGGUUAAACGAAUGUUACAGAGGCUGUAUCCACUCAACAGUCUUGGUAACCCUCUCAUCUUCAUCAUGUUCAAUACGAAACUAUUCACGUGGCGUAAAAACAACUCUCACGCGCGAGAUUACGACCGCAUGGCCACAGAGAUGACGACAACCUGACAGUUAGCGGAGAUAUUGCGUUGCAUAUUGACGUCAUAUAGGCGUCUGAGAUACGCAGUUGUGUAAUUUAUUGAAAACACAACACAAUCAUUGGAGCAUUCAUUUGCCGGGCUAAAGUUAAGAAGCAUCACACACAAAAUGUUUCAGACAUAUUGAUCUUUGAUUGGAGAUCAAGAAAGACGCUGGGUCACGAUCGCAGCUUUUUGAUGUGCCUUACUAUUUUGACGUAAAGACGACGAAAAUUGGAUGUAUAUAUGGACGUUAUAGGGGGAAACCUAUAUGGCAGAGAAGUUUGUAGUGACUUUACAGUAAGCCACCUUAGGAGUGAGUAUAAAAAGAAAAAGUUAAAAUGUGGUUUCUUAAAAAGGCCGGGUGCGGGAGGCGGGCAAUAUGUUUUUAAACAAAAAACUAUAGAACCUUUAACAACUACAAAUGCGAAGAAGAAUGCGGAGGUGAUGAAGCCGACGUCUUCCGUUCUUGCCUCAUCUAGAAACGUUCCAAAAGAGAUAAAUGGCAAUGCUCUAUUAUGACUUUAUUAUAGGUUUUUAUGUUAUAAGUGUGUGGGUAAAGUGGUCUUUGACUAGAUAAUUAUGCACGGAAGAAAGAAAUCUUAUUUCUUUUAGUCUGUUGAAUUCUUAAAAAUAUUGUCCAUCCCAUUGCAUUUCUUUUCGUUUAAUGCUAUAGUUUAAUUAGUUUAAACAUAUUUAUUUUAUAACGAUUGUGAAACAAGUUAUUACAACAUUAUAUUAAUCACUCUCGUUGGCACGAUUUUACGCGAGAGUGUGGUCAUGUAUUGUGGGGGAAACCGGAGAACCCGGAGGAAACCCACUUGUCCGGCUUGGUGACCACAAACCAAACUCACAUGCGCCCAGGCCGGGAAUCAAACCCGGGUCGCCUAGGUGAGAAGCGAGUGCGCUAACCACUGCGCUAACCGGACAACCUUUAAUGCUAUAGAGCAUUAAAAAUUCAGAUUUAAACCUUUGCUAUAGCAAACUGAAUACUUAAUAUUGUCGUAUUUUAUGAAUUUUGAACACCACUGCCAAAAAGAAAUUAG
Mya arenaria is the source of this 2178-nucleotide RNA transcript. It is a transcript of the gene named cardioacceleratory peptide receptor-like, with no coding region annotated. Lineage: Eukaryota; Metazoa; Mollusca; Bivalvia; Myida; Myidae. The record is from RefSeq and is a predicted model, not a curated record. The transcript is spliced from 9 exons.